GUGGUUUUUAACUGUUGUUUGUUCGGAGUAUACGGAUAAAUAUUAUGUAGACAAAACGGGCGGCGGGUGUUCUAAACUGUUAGUGUGGUAUCCUUGAUGAGUGUUGACUUUUAUUAAAAACACUUGAUAAGCUUGGACAGUUGGCAAGGCGGUUCUCUUCUACAAUGCAUAAUAUGCUAAGCCUUCAAAAAUAUAAUAUAUUCCAGACAUAAAAAUUCAUAAACAUACAUUUGGAUAGUUAAUUUCGUCCUGACAAAAUUUUUAAUUACCAUAUUACAACAGUUAAUCCAUGUUUAAUCUCAUAAAUUCAUUUUAAAUGAGCCAAUAAUUCAAUAUUCAACAUCAAUAUACAGAGGAGAGCACCGGCUAUAUAAUCAGGGAAAGUGUCUCAUGUGUACAAAUCCAGACAAAGUCAAAACGUCAAGGUAGUAAACAAUCAGAAUUUUUUCAUUUUAG
RNAcentral lists this long non-coding RNA (456 nucleotides) under Mytilus galloprovincialis (Mediterranean mussel). Lineage: Eukaryota; Metazoa; Mollusca; Bivalvia; Mytilida; Mytilidae. The record is from RNAcentral.